Rosa chinensis is the source of this 288-nucleotide RNA transcript. RefSeq lists it as uncharacterized. The transcript has 3 exons. Lineage: Eukaryota; Viridiplantae; Streptophyta; Magnoliopsida; Rosales; Rosaceae. The record is from RefSeq and is a predicted model, not a curated record.
CAGCUUUGGAUGCAUUUGUAGAAUUUGUUGCUACAUUUGGAAAUGUCUCAGGUAAAAUUCGCAGCUGGUAUUGGUUCUCAGAGUUUGGACUUAUGGUCUACAGCAUGUCAAGAAACAGAUACUGUGAGCGAAUUGGCAGACAGCACAAAAGCAAUCAUGAGUGGCAAUCCAUUCCUUGAUGCAAAUGCUGUUCCGAUCAACCAACCUUGAUGUAAGGCUAGUUUUUGCUUUGAAGGAAAGUAUGGUGUAUGUAGAACUGAUGUACUUGGUUGCUAAUAUGUUUAUGGG